Long non-coding RNA from Lathyrus oleraceus (garden pea), 827 nucleotides. RefSeq lists it as uncharacterized. The record is from RefSeq and is a predicted model, not a curated record. Lineage: Eukaryota; Viridiplantae; Streptophyta; Magnoliopsida; Fabales; Fabaceae. The transcript has 3 exons.
UAAAAUUCAUUUCAAAUCUUAAUACUUAUUCCUUUUAGUCAUUUAAUUGCAAUAUAUUUUAAUGAUUAAAAAAAAAUAUUUCCAAUUUAAUAAAACCCAAAUUUUAAUUGAAAGCCCUAAUCCAUUGUUCCUCUUUUCAUCUUCAAACUCCACCAUCUUCGAUCAGAAUAACGACGAUAUCAGAAUCACAACCCUACUCUUCCUCUUCUUUUUUAGUUGUGAUUUCAUCUUAUUUUUCUGUUUUUUCCUACUCAUCUUCAUAUUUUACAUGAUAUGAGAGGACCAAGGGGUGAUGGAGAUGAGAACAAACCAACAAAUUUAUGAUGGGCAGCGAUGCUUUCGGCAACGAGGUCUGUUAUUGACGAGGAAGAAGUUGUGGUAGUGCUAGAUUUGAAUAUUAUUGUGGUCUGAAUACGGAUGUCUGAAUAGGAUGGAGAUGUCGGCAAAUUGAUGUUCCUGCCACUGCAUGGACUUGCUCCAGGAUAUUUAUGCAGGAUGCACCUUAAGGGGAUGAAGUAUGCUCUGAAUCGGUCGUGACUCUUGACGUGAACUACCGUACAUGACUCAAAGAAUCUCGUAAAUAAAGGAAUGAACUUGCUUAUGCAAAUAUGGUAUGAAUGGUCCAAGUGGAUACUGUCAUUGGGCUUAGGGGUUAGAAGAGUUGACUUUGGUCAAAUAUUGACCAAAAAGUCAACAGUUGACUAAAAGUCAACCUUAGCGAAAAUCCUUAUUUCUUUUUUGUAAUUUUGUAUAGACAUUUGUAAACUUGGUAUUUGUAAGUGACAUGAACAAACUUGAAUGAAAAAUGAUUUAAUACUUUAAUUCUU